GUUAGGUGGUAAAAGCAGUGUUUGCCAUAAAAAUCAGGUCGUUGGUUAUUUUGGUGGGGAGGGAGAGGUAGUGUUUGGAAGGGGACACAAGGGAAGGUUUUGGGACGCAUGGUAUACCGGUUGUCAAUGUAUGGCCUCGCACCUCCAAAUCCAUCCUUUAAUACCUGCUCUGUGGGCACAGCCAGAAUCCCCUUCCGCGGCUCCCCUCGCGGCAGGGAGGAUGCUGAACAGUAGAGGGCGCUGGAGACACGCUGCGGGAGGCUGUCGCUCGGGUCCGGCUGCGGGCCACAGGCCGCGGAUCGCGCUCUGCCAGCGCCCCACGCCCGCAAGCGCGGCCCCUCCGCCACCUCGCGGCCCGGCCUGACCUGUUAAUCACGUCCCCACGGCUCUCCUAGCGGGGACACCGCCGUCUGCAGGCUCCGUCCCCACAGUGCCCAGACCCCGGGAAGUUUGUCAGUCAGCACCCUGAUGCCAGCCGAUUCUCAAAAAGCCAGGAGGAUCCAAGCAGAUGAUUUGCCAGACGGUACUGCAGCAAUGGAGAUGAACAGAUAAUUCACACAGAAAGAAGGACGAGGGAUUGGAUCAAGCUGGGGCGAGAUAGAGUGGGGAAGUGAUGAGCUAAGAAAAAUUAGCCUGCAAGCAUGACGUGUCGCACGUCAGCAAGGCUGCAGCCUUGGAUUCUGAUGUCUUGAGAAGAGCGAUUCACCUGUGAAUUCUCACAGCCCUGGCCUCAGAAAGACGGCCCGGGACCAGGCCCGAUGGCACCCCUCUUCCCAGCUCUCAGCCAGGGCGGAAGGCACAAGUGAUGGCCCUGGCCUCCGCAGUCACACUCCUCCUGAAAGCUGACUGGCUGAACCUCACCUCUUGGCUAGCUUGCCACCCAGCUCUUGAGAACAUGUUUGUCCAAGGCCUCUUGGCAGGUCUCGAUGACUCCUUCCCCUAAGGGCCCCCAGUCACCUGCUAAGGCUCCCAGGCCCCUGUGAAACUGGCUCGGUGCCCCAAUAGACUCUCCACCUCCAGACCCUAAGCCGGCCAGCCCAGAGUGCAGCAAGGCACCACACCUACCCUGUGAGGGCACUCGGGCCCCGCGCUGGCCUCUGACAGCACAGGAAGCUUCUGCAUUCACGCUGAGGCCUGUCUUUUGCCUUCCUUAGAUAAACUUGCCAGAAACCCCAUAGUGCUUCAGGCCUUUGGGAUAAUUCCCCUGAGCCCCAUAGGCCAGGGCCUGGCAUUCAGUAGUUGCUCUAAAAUUGUGUUUUCACCCACUCUCUUCCAGGUAGUCAGGACAGGGAAGCCCAGGCUUCUGGUCACCACUCACCAAAUCUCUCCCCUGCCCCUCUAUCAGGGAUCAGCUCCUAUAGGCCUUAACCUAGCAGACUAGGUAAAGCAGAGCUGGUGGCAUCAAGGGUCCCGGGGGCUGCAGAGCCCUGGCUGGUACAGGAGGCUGGGCUCUCCUGUAGGUCUGCACCUUCCCAGCAACGCGGAGGGCACCAGACCCUGCCUGCUCCAGAGGCUGUACCUGAAAGAUGAAGUGCUCGUCAAACUGCGGGUUGGAGGUUUUGCGUUUGGUCUUGGAUUGGAGGAAGCGCCGCUCAUCGGGCAGCAGGUAGAGCUUCACCAGGGGCCGCUCAGCCUCCUGCUCAUAUUCCACCGAGAACCACAGCCGCCCCAGGCAGCCGUCGGGGAAGUCGGUCUCACUUUUGUCCUCCGGGAACUUGUACAGCUCUGGGUUGAUGGCCCCCACCAUACAUGCAUCUCCUAUGACAGAGGGUGGGAGGGCUGGCAGGCCAGAGGAAGGCAGGGGCAUGGGAGACAGUGGCAAGCUCUGGGCACCCAUCCCCAUCCUGGCCCAUCCGUCUCUGCUGAGCCUCAGCUAGCCUGACCACAUCUGCCCCACUCUCCUCACCAGGCUAAACACAUCCCCUCUCUCUGGUGCAGCUCCUCCAAGAAGCCUUCUCACCAUGAAGGCAUUGCAUGGCCAGGCUGGGGAUCCAGCAGAGUCCUGCCCCCUGGGAUUGGCCCCCAUCCUUGGAGGUCAGGACCUGUUUCAAGGACACAGUGCCCAUCACCUGGCCUAGCCCCCUUCCAUGGCGUCUAGGGAAUGACUCAGCGAUAAAACAUUGCCUUUCUUCUUCCUCUUCAAAUUAGAAGGGCCAAGGUGAUUAUUGGGUGGUUCCUGUGAUGGUCUCUUGGUAGAUCUUCAGGGCAAAGAGGUGGCAGAAAGCUGUGUUUGCAGCCCCUACCAUUCUGUCCUCUUGGUCAACCAACCCAUCAUCCUAGAGUGGGACCCAGCACAAGUUCUGUACAUGGCGUGCCUGGGUUCCAAUUCCAAUCUGUUGCUUACAGCCUCAGUUAAGACUAUGUAAAAUGGGGUGAUAAUUCCUCCCCCUCAGAGUCAUGGUGAGGUCUCACUCCAAAUCAGCACCCAAGGCCAUAUCUUACCCUCAUGGGGUGCAGCAAGCACUUCAUAAAUGAAAGCACCCAGAAAGAGUGGUCCCUGGGUGGUCCCUGGCAUCCCUGGCUGGUUCAGGUUGUGUUCCGGAGCCAAGCUGGUGAAAGCAGAUGGGGCCACCCGAGCAGACCCUGACCUCUGGGCAGCCCUGGCAAGGACACUCACCAAGGCCGCCGCUGGAGGUGUGAGGCAGCAGCUCUGAUGCCGGGCAGGGGUCCCAUGGGGCAUCGGCCCACUCUCCACUGUGCAGGGGCACCCAAUCUCGGCCUUGAAGGGUUGGGGGCACCACGAAUGGCACAGCUGGUGGCCUGUCCAGAGUCAGGGAGACAACAUGUAGGUGGCAAGUCAAUGGUGUGGUCUCAGAGCGCUCAGCCAGGACGGUUGAGCACCAGGGGCUGGAGGAAGAAAAGCCAUCGGGAGCCAGGAGGAGGCCAGGGCACCAUUUUCUGGGCCCAUACCAGGCAACACACACACACACACACGCACACACACACACACACACACACACACACACACACACAGCAGUGGGAUUUGAAGAAGGAACACAGCACCUGACAGUGUCAGCCAGUCUGGGUUUGGAUUCCUGUUCUGCCACUUACUAAUUGUGUUCUCUGGACCUGUUGCUUAUGUGCACUGAGCCUCAGAUUCCUCACCUGGAACAUGGGUUUCAUAACACCUGCCUAAUAGCUGAUGUGAGGUUUCUGGGGUUUCUUUGUGAUAGCUCCCAGCACCGAAGCAGCAUAGAAGAGGCACCCCCAUAAACAGAACUUUCCUUUUCGACCCCACCCUGAGGGAAAUUCCAGGGGCGCACUUGGCCCCACAUCCUGCCUCACCUGCUCAGUUGGGUCCUAGCAUGCGGCUGGCAGGGCCUGUCCCGCUGCCCACUGGAGGCAGCUGUGGUGGCCAUGGCUGGUGUCCCAGGCAGCUCCUCAUAGGUGAGGGUGGCACAGAACCUUCUCCACAGACAGCAGCUUGCCCCGAUCAACAGCAGCAGCAGCAGCCCCCCGAUGGUGCCCCCAAUCACCAGGGCCAGCUGCUCUGGGGGCAGAGACCACCAGUACUAUGAUGCCUGCCUGGGAAAGCCACUCUCCCUCACAGCCCUGGCCUGCUGGGGCAGAACUAGGGCAGCAACCCUGCCUCUGGGUUUGAUCUCAGGAGUGAUAGGAGCAGGCCUGCUGGGGAUGGGUUCCGGGAGGGAUGCUGCUGGCUAGGUUCCGCCAGCUCUCAGAGGAGAAGCCGUUUACCCCAGGGUCUGAGAGCCCUGGGCAGAACCUUCUAGUUUUCCUUGGAAAACAGCUGGCCCUGCCCUUGGGAUUCUGGCUUAAAGAAGCCAUUUCCUUGCGCUUCUGAGUAGAAAUCAAACCUGCCCUCACCAGAACCUCCAUAUCCCCUGGGCUCCUGUUGAGGCCAGGAGGGGAGCUGGGGUGUGGACGCAGUCAGUUAAGGAAAGCCCUGAAAGGUACCUUCCCCCUGGUCUGCAAUCAAACCUCUACCCUCUGGGGCCCUGGAACCUGCUGCAAGGCUGGACUCUUCUCUAACACCCGCUCCCUCCCCUAGCCCUCUAUCAAGGUGAGCACGCGCUUAGGGGAGUUGGUGCGACGCGGUGGACGAGGUGGGGAGGAAAAGGGGGCAAGACCCCGUUGCUGCUGGCCCUCACACGUCCGCAUUUGCGGGACCUAGGAGGCUUCGCCCCGGGGGUGCUCAGACGCUGGGUUCCAACCGCUGGCCACCUGGGGCGGGCCAAAAAGGUGCCUCCCUUAGGGUGACGUGCGGCCGCGGGGCAUUCAGGUCUCAGGGAUCUGCACUGGGUGGGGUGGUGAGAAGGCCGGACCCCCCACACCUCCUAAGCCGCAACUGACCGCGAAGAGCGGGCCUCAGCGUCUACUCCAUCCCAGUGCCCCUCCAAGAGCGCGCCGAGGCCGGGCAGGGCAGGCGCUGCACCCCAGCGGGGGCGGCGGGGCGGAGGCAAGUGCUGGAAGGGUCGCAGAGGGGCCGGGGCUGGGCUGGGGAGGCGAGGCUCGCUUACCCGCCAUGGGGCUGCUCCCGCAG
This 4501-nucleotide long non-coding RNA is filed under the name Homo sapiens (human). RNAcentral describes it as "HSALNT0162209". Lineage: Eukaryota; Metazoa; Chordata; Mammalia; Primates; Hominidae. The record is from RNAcentral.